Molecule: ribosomal RNA, 253 nt
Filed under: uncultured bacterium
Lineage: Bacteria
Description: partial 16S ribosomal RNA
Rfam family: Bacterial small subunit ribosomal RNA
Source: RNAcentral
UACGUAGGUGGCAAGCGUUGUCCGGAUUUACUGGGCGUAAAGAGCGCGCAGGCGGUCGUUCAAGUCGCGUGUGAAAGCCCCCGGCUCAACUGGGGAGGGUCACGCGAUACUGAUCGACUCGAAGGCAGGAGAGGGAAGUGGAAUUCCCGGUGUAGUGGUGAAAUGCGUAGAUAUCGGGAGGAACACCUGUGGCGAAAGCGGCUCUCUGGACCACAACUGACGCUGAGGCGCGAAAGCUAGGGGAGCAAACAGG